RNAcentral lists this ribosomal RNA (524 nucleotides) under Exophthalmus roseipes. Its description in RNAcentral is "partial 12S ribosomal RNA". Lineage: Eukaryota; Metazoa; Arthropoda; Insecta; Coleoptera; Curculionidae. The record is from RNAcentral.
GUUACACUUAUAAUGCAAUAAAAAAAGUUUGGUAAUUAAUUAAUAAGAAUAAUUGAAUAAAUUUUUAAUUUUAUUGGGUGAAAUUUCUAAAAUUAAAAAAUAUUUAUUAUAGUUUUAUGAGGUUAAUAAGUUUAGGUAAGAAACUAGGAUUAGAUACCCUAUUAUUCUAAAUGUAAAUGUUAUAGUUACUUGGUUAGUAGUAGAUAUGGUCUUGAAAAUUAAAGAUGUUGGCGGUAUUUUAGUCUAUUCAGAGGAACUUGUCCUGUAAUCGAUGAUCCACGAGUUUUUUUACUUAUUUUAUAUAAGUUUGCAUAUCGCCGUAGUUUGAAUAUUUUUAAAAAAUAGUAAUGUUCAAAAAUUUUUAUUAAAAAGGAAUUCAGGUCAAGAUGUAGCUAAUAGAUAAGGAGAGAUGAGUUACAAUAAAUUUAUUUAAACGGAUUGGUAGAUGAAAUUUUAUUGAGAAGAUGGAUUUGAGGGUAAUUUUAUUUAAAUUAAUAAAAUGAUUUAAGCUCUAAAAUAUGUAC